CCAGCAGCCGCGGUAAUACGGAGGGUCCAAGUGUUGUCCGGAAUCACUGGGUGUAAAGGAUGUGCAGGCGGGGCAGCAAGUCAGAGGUGAAAUCCUGCGGCUUAACCGCAGAAGUGCCUUUGAAACUGCUGCUCUUGAGUCCUGGAGAGGUUGCCGGAAUUCGUGGUGUAGCGGUGAAAUGCGUAGAUAUCACGAGGAACACCAGAGGCGAAAGCGGGCAACUGGACAGGUACUGACGGUGAGGCAUGAGAGCGUGGGGAGCAAACAGGAUUAGAUCCCCUGGUAGUCCGCGCCGUAAACGAUGAAUGCUCGCCGUGUCUC
This 321-nucleotide ribosomal RNA is filed under the name uncultured Bacteroidota bacterium. RNAcentral describes it as "bacterial SSU rRNA". It matches the Rfam family "Bacterial small subunit ribosomal RNA", at positions 508 to 828 of the family's 1533-position model. The record is from RNAcentral. Lineage: Bacteria; Pseudomonadati; Bacteroidota.